GACAGAGGGUGCAAACGUUGCUCGGAAUUACUGGGCGUAAAGCGCGUGUAGGCGGCUUUGCAAGUCGGGUGUGAAAUCCCCGAGCUUAACUUGGGAAUUGCGCUCGAAACUACGUGGCUGGAGUGUGGCAGAGGAAGGUGGAAUUCCACGUGUAGCGGUGAAAUGCGUAGAGAUGUGGAGGAACACCGAUGGCGAAGGCAGCCUUCUGGGCCAACACUGACGCUCAUGCACGAAAGCGUGGGGAGCAAACAGG
RNAcentral lists this ribosomal RNA (253 nucleotides) under uncultured bacterium. Its description in RNAcentral is "partial 16S ribosomal RNA". It matches the Rfam family "Bacterial small subunit ribosomal RNA", at positions 524 to 776 of the family's 1533-position model. The record is from RNAcentral.